UUGGCGCCCUGGUUCCCCCUUCUCGCCUGGGGGCCCCACGGGGCCCGGUGGUCCGGGCUCUCCCGGGGGCCCACGCGGGCCUGCCUUCCCCGGCCUGCCCGCUUCGCCUUUGGGACCCUGGAUGAAAGUGGGCAGAGACUGCAUGAGGCCCCGGUCCGGGGUGGCGGCGGUGCUGGGAGCCUUGGUGCCCCCGUAGGGGUCGCAGACCAUGCGGCAGGUGCCCAGCAUCUCGUAGUGCGCCGACGUGCCGGCCGAGCUCACCAGCACCGGGAUGAGGAUGACCAGCAGAAGCACCAUCACCACCCCCAGCGCCCCGGCGGCGAUCAGGCGCCUCCUGCUGCCCACGAGCCGGCUCAGCGCGGGCCGAUCCUCUUGUCUGCUUUUGGACAAAAUUUUGAAGGUUGGGCGGGGACCUCCUCAGAGCCGAAAACAAUCCCCCUUCGAACCCCAACUCCCCUGGGCGGGCGCGCGCCGGUCGCUCUUCACCGGCUCCUGCUCCCCCCGCUGAGGCUGCGGCUAGGGAGGGAGCUGGGGCGCCAAGUGACUUGAGCUGAAGUCCCGAGCUGGGGGGUGGGGGCUGGGGGGAGGGGUGCUCAGGGCGCCCUCUCGCCUCCUGCUAGCCCCUUCGCACCUGUGGCUGCGGCGGGUGCCGGAGCGGCCACCCGGAGGGCAGAGCCAGCGGCCGCCUGCUGCGCUCGCCCGGAGCUGCUCACACUUUUAUGCCGCUGCUGCUGGCGAUCGACUUUUCCUUUUUUGCAGACUGCGCCAGUUCUCACCAACUUUCCGUCUGAAGUUGCCUUUUUUUCCCCCUGCUUCUUGUUUCUUUUCUUUGCAGACUAGGUUCGUCUGUCCUUGCCUUUUUUUUUUCUUUCUUUCUUUCUUUCUUUUUUUUUUUCUUUUGCAGCCACCACAACUCUAAUAGAAGCGCACCCCCAAAGCCCUAGAGGGCUGCAGAAGCUCGGGUCGGGCAGCCCCCGAGAUGCGCGGAGCAGCGGCGAUUCGCAGUAUCCGCGGCUCAGAGAAGCUCAGGGACGGAGAUAGGUGCUAGACAGCAGCAGCGAAAGCCUCACUGCCGAAAGCUGAACGAGAGAGGCUGAACGCAGAAUUCUGCCUGGG
This 1116-nucleotide long non-coding RNA is filed under the name Rattus norvegicus (Norway rat). RNAcentral's name for it is "long non-coding RNA NONRATT012635". The record is from RNAcentral. Lineage: Eukaryota; Metazoa; Chordata; Mammalia; Rodentia; Muridae.